GGAGAAAAAACAUUCCUGUUCCCCUCCCUGCAAAGUUCUCGUUGGUCUAAUCAGCACAUUCUCCCAGCAUCCACAGAAAUUUGUGGAAAGCUCAUGCAGUGUUGGAAGAGGACUCCAAAAGUCUUUCAUCACAAAUCUUAAGAACAUAUUGGAACACUGCUGCAAUUUCCACACCAUAAAGGAUAAGUAUGGAAAAGUCUUUAAAGGUUUAAGAUUAAAUUGAUAAUCAAUGUAUAGUGUUCUAAGAUGUUUCAUUCUGAUUAUUGAUUUAUAUCCCUGUGAGCACCAGCCAAUAAGAGUAGCCAGCAGAGGAAGUUAGCAUUUAGAGAGGUAAUGGGUCUCUCUCUCUCUUUGGAUGUGUUCAAGAAGGACCUGAACAGCCAUCCGUAGGAGAUACGUUGGUUGUAUCCUUGCAUGUACCAGAUGAAGGAACUUAAUUGUCCCAGGGCCUUUUCACACAUGACAGUAGUGAGCAUCAGAAAUACUUACUAGUCAAAUGCUUCUACAUUUUGCAGAGGCCCUAGCAAUCAGGAGCAGACUACAGCC
This 546-nucleotide long non-coding RNA is filed under the name Salvator merianae (Argentine black and white tegu). RNAcentral describes it as "lncRNA (ENSSMRG00000010987.1)". Lineage: Eukaryota; Metazoa; Chordata; Lepidosauria; Squamata; Teiidae. The record is from RNAcentral.